RNAcentral lists this ribosomal RNA (497 nucleotides) under uncultured bacterium. RNAcentral's name for it is "partial 16S ribosomal RNA". It matches the Rfam family "Bacterial small subunit ribosomal RNA", at positions 28 to 507 of the family's 1533-position model. The record is from RNAcentral.
GAUGAACGCUGGCGGCGUGCCUAAUACAUGCAAGUCGAGCGAACGGACGAGAAGCUUGCUUCUCUGAUGUUAGCGGCGGACGGGUGAGUAACACGUGGAUAACCUACCUAUAAGACUGGGAUAACUUCGGGAAACCGUAGCUAAUACCGGAUAAUAUUUUGAACCGCAUGGUUCAAAAGUGAAAGACGGUCUUGCUGUCACUUAUAGAUGGAUCCGCGCUGCAUUAGCUAGUUGGUAAGGUAACGGCUUACCAAGGCAACGAUGCAUAGCCGACCUGAGGGGGUGAUCGGCCACACUGGAACUGAGACACGGUCCAGACUCCUACGGGAGGCAGCAGUAGGGAAUCUUCCGCAAUGGGCGAAAGCCUGACGGAGCAACGCCGCGUGAGUGAUGGAGGUCUUCGGAUCGUAAAACUCUGUUAUUAGGGAAGAACAUAUGUGUAAGUAACUGUGCACAUCUUGACGGUACCUAAUCAGAAAGCCACGGCUAACUACGUG